This 491-nucleotide ribosomal RNA is filed under the name uncultured bacterium. RNAcentral describes it as "partial 16S ribosomal RNA". It matches the Rfam family "Bacterial small subunit ribosomal RNA", at positions 29 to 507 of the family's 1533-position model. The record is from RNAcentral.
AGUGAACGCUGGCGGUAGGCCUAACACAUGCAAGUCGAACGGCAGCACAGUAAGAGCUUGCUCUUACGGGUGGCGAGUGGCGGACGGGUGAGGAAUACAUCGGAAUCUACUUUUUCGUGGGGGAUAACGUAGGGAAACUUACGCUAAUACCGCAUACGACCUACGGGUGAAAGCAGGGGAUCUUCGGGCCUUGCGCGAUUGGAUGAGCCGAUGUCGGAUUAGCUAGUUGGCGGGGUAAAGGCCCACCAAGGCGACGAUCCGUAGCUGGUCUGAGAGGAUGAUCAGCCACACUGGAACUGAGACACGGUCCAGACUCCUACGGGAGGCAGCAGUGGGGAAUAUUGGACAAUGGGCGCAAGCCUGAUCCAGCAUACCGCGUGGGUGAAGAAGGCCUUCGGGUUGUAAAGCCCUUUUGUUGGGAAAGAAAAGCAGCAGGUUAAAACCCCGCUGUUCUGACGGUACCCAAAGAAUAAGCACCGGCUAACUUCGUG